RNAcentral lists this ribosomal RNA (497 nucleotides) under uncultured bacterium. Its description in RNAcentral is "partial 16S ribosomal RNA". It matches the Rfam family "Bacterial small subunit ribosomal RNA", at positions 28 to 507 of the family's 1533-position model. The record is from RNAcentral.
GAUGAACGCUGGCGGCGUGCCUAAUACAUGCAAGUCGAGCGAACAGACGAUGAUCUUGCUCCUCUGACGUUAUCGGCUGACGUGUUAGUAACACGUGUAUAACCUACCUAUAUUACUUGUAUAACUUCGUGAAACCGGAUCUAAUACCGUAUAAUCUAUUGAACCGCAUGGUUCAAUAUUUAAAGACGUUUUUUCUGUCUCUUAUAGAUUGAUCCGCGCCGCAUUAGCUAGUUGGUAAGGUAACGGCUUACCAAGGCAACGAUGCGUAGCCGACGUGAGAGGGGGAUCGGCCACACGGGAAGGGAGACACGGUGAAGAAGACUACGGGAGGAAGCAGAAGGGAAGAGGACGCAAUGGGGGAAAGCAUGACGGAGAAAAGCGGCGUGAGUGAUGAAGGUGGUGGGAUCGUAAAACACUGUUAUUAGGGAAGAAAAAAUGUGUAAGUAAAUAUGAACGUAAUGACGGUAACUAAUAAGAAAGCAACGGCUAACUACGUG